Molecule: long non-coding RNA, 3647 nt
Organism: Podarcis raffonei (Aeolian wall lizard)
Lineage: Eukaryota; Metazoa; Chordata; Lepidosauria; Squamata; Lacertidae
Exons: 7
Source: RefSeq, a predicted model, not a curated record
AAUCAUAGAAUCUGAGAAUUGGAAAGUUGGGUCCUCGAGGGUCAUCUAGUCCAACUCCCUCCAAUGCAGGAAUCUUUUUUGCCCAUUGUGAGGCUCCAACCCAGACCCUGAGAUUAAGAGUCUCAUGUUCUACAAAUUGAUCUAUCCCACUUUAAUCCAUUUCUACAAAAAUUGUGCCUUUCCAGCUAUAUCAAUAUUUGCAAAUUUUAAUUAUUAGUAUUAGUAGUAAGCAUUUUUACCUACUCUUCAGCUAAAAAGGCUUCCAAAGUGAAACAGCCACAUGCAUAUGGCAUGUAUAACAUUGAAGCAGGGUCUAUUGCUACCAUUUGAAUUUGAAUAUGUUGGCUAAUUCUAACCAUUUACAUCUGUCAGUGAUGUUUGGGGGAUAUGGGCAACAGGUGGCUGCCUUUGUAGGUCCAGUUGGGCUUUGGAGCCUUUCCAGUGAACAGACAGAUCUCUAUGCAUGAAUACCCUUUUAAUUUUAUUUCUGUUUUUUGGUGUACUCUCGUCUUCGAUAAGGAACUUUAUCAAAAGCAUUUUGAAAGCCCAGUCAGUGUGUAUUAGAUUCUCAUCAUGAAAAUGCAUCUCGCAUCUUUAAACAUGGUUUUAGCAGAUCGACAACCCUAGUAAGUAGAACCACUGUGGCCUCCAUCCCCCACCCCAUUGCUGAAAACACAAAGGAAAAACUAUGUGUGCAUGUUUCUCGCUUUUACGUUUUAGGUGUUCUUUUAUUCUGGGUGUGGUGAGAGGCUCUCAGCUAAUCCAAGCCUUGAUCACCCUUUCCAAAGUUAUUGGAGGAAGAAAUUUGGAGGAAAGAACGGUAGUAAAAGAAGCAGAAAACACAAAAUUGCUUUGUUUGCGGAGGUGCAGUAAGAAGGGUCGGGAUGGGAGAGUUGAAGUGCGAUUAUUUUGAUGUAUACCUUUUGUUCAUAUCUGAGCUCAUUAGGAAACCAAUGCUGAUGUGAAAAAAAUGUUUAUUUUUUUUUUAAAUAACACUAUUGCUUGUCUAUUAAGUGCAGUAAACUCCAUCUGGAAUGCAAAUGGAAGAAAAUUAAAUCUCUGGCCUGUUCCUCUCCUCUUCCAUCUGUUGGGUCUAUUUUAUUGCCCUGCCACCGUCACAGUAGAAUCUUGGAUUCUGCAGUUAAAAAAUCACGGCUCCUCGUGAACCCGGAAAUACCUUAUCAAGGCAGUGAAGUCCACUCUGCUCUUUAUUAUCUCUGUGGCGGACCGUGCUGACGUUUCCCGUCUCUGCGUCCCUCAGCUGCCGCCAGGAGGAGCGGCGGGGCGUCGUCAGGUUCUUCUCGCCUUUCCUUGGGAUGAGAGCUUCGAGUGGCUGGACUGAAGGGUUCCUGCAUUCUGCUGGCUACAGGUUAACAGUUCUGACUGGAGAGGUGCUGUUAUCAGGUUUCUCAUCCUAUUUAAUAAUGAAGUGAGGAUGAUAGGAAAGAAGGCUGCAGAACCACAGUUGCAGCAUAGUUGUUUCUGGUACAAAUCGACUACAGUGCUUCUCUCAUUUGAUGCAGAGGAAUGGGUCAGGAGACUUGAGAGAACCAAAUACAAGACUUGCAGAGAGCAUCGAGGGCCUGAGAACAUGCUGUCCCUUGGCGCUCUUCCUUUAUCCUUUGACCCUGGGAAAGAACAGCUUGUGGAGGACAGAUAAAAACCAGGGCACACAGAGAAACCAAUGAGGGAACAGGUGCCAUGUCAGCAGCUUUAUAUAGGAGUUUUUGCUGAGGUGCAAUCAGCACAGAGGGAAGUGGCCUGACCUUCCUACUCUACAGCUACUUGAAACUUGAGGAGCAAAACUAAUGGAAUCUGAAACAUUUCUUGUCCUUAGAUUUAUUCAGCAAAGAUACGUGACACCUUUCCACUCGAGCUGUAACAGCAAGGACCAGCUGGAGAGAUUAUGAAACACAAGGACUCUGUGCUCUAUUCUUGUGUUUGUGGCUGAAAUGCCGUAAUAAGGCAUUGGAAAAAAGAAAUGAAGCAAAAGCUUAUCAUAAGCAUUCACAUUUUCCUCCUGAGGACUUCCAGUGCAGCACUCCUAGAGGAAACUACUCUCUGGCAAGUGUGGAAAACACAGAAUAAUAAAUGAAGAGGUUGUUUAUAAUUAACAUAGUACUGGUAAGAGCACCCAAACCCAUCAAGUGGCUGGUUGGUUCUUAAGUUAUCUAGAAUGGUUACAGCCUUCCUUUGGCUGCUUUCCAUACAGUUCUGGGAAGACCAGUCACAGGAAAACCACAUGGGAGGGGUGAAUGAUGCAGUUACUUCCUGUGCUCUUCCCUUUACCUCUCCUGAGUCUGGCUGCUGUAGUGUAGGGAGAUAAGCAUACCAUAUGUCCCUCCCCCACAAAUGGAUAUUUUGCUUUUAAUUUUAUACUCUGUUUCUACAAAUUGCACCCUAAGUUGUGUACAAACACCUGACAGAAAAGUACAGUUGACUUGCAACCUGCGCACAUUUAACUUGUGCAAUUAUAGCUUUACAUGUUUGGCAGCUUGGCAGCAUGCAAUUGCACAAAUUAAACACUCCCAUGCAAGGCAGAGAGCUUGAAAGCUCCCACUGCAGAAAACUUUAAGCUCUCUGCCUUGAUUCCCAGGCUCUGGAAAAGUCUCACCAGGCCUCUGGGCUUAAAAGCUCUCUGCCUUCAUGGGGGUCAAGAUCCGCUCAGUGCGCCAGCUCCAGAAAGGUAGGAAUGGUCACCAGUGCUUUUUUUCUGGGGGUAAUCAAGGGUCCGCCAUACCGGCAUCUUUUUUCUAGAAGGAAAACACUGAUGGUCGCACAUGUUCAGUUGUGGGGUUGUUCCGGCAAUAAGCAAUUUUGCACAGUCCCUGGAACCUAACCCUCACGCAAGUUGUCUACAUUAAAAAUGACUACACACUGUUUAUAAUAUAACAUCGUUAACCAAAAUAUAAAUAUUUGUAGACCAACUAGGAAAUAGGCACAAACGAAUACAAUCUAGAGACACUGCUUUUUCUUCUCCAGUGGAUCACUUAGCAGCUGCUGAGAGCUGUGAUACCAGCCUGUUUCCUGGACCAGGUGCUUCUUAAGCUGAUUCAGCAAGACACAUUCUUAAGCAAGAAUGCCCAUUAAAGAUCUCUUAAUACACAUUAGUUAUGCGUUGACUGUUAAGGACUACUGAAGAUACACUCUUGCUUCAUAGAUUUAAAAUGUGCUGGUGGACCAUAGGGAUUCUAGGAUUAAAAAAAAAAACAAGACUGAAAUAAGCUUACCCUCAGGCAUCAUUCCACUGAGAAAAGAAGCACCCAAUAGCUAACAAUAAGUGAUCUAUGUAUUUUUUGUCUAAUAAUUGCAUCAGUCAGUUGACCAAGAUGGCUCUUAAUAACUUCAUUUAUGGACAGGAGGAGACUUGUUUGCUACAUCCAAGAGAAUAGGCUUAUUCAACCCCUUCACUGCUGUUCUUCCAGCUAUAAUGUAGUAAACAUGCCAUAGGACGUUAUUCACAGGCUUCUACCUGUAGGUCAGCUCACAUUCUUUCCUGUUCACAGCAAGAUAAUUAGCACUGGGCUAUUUUACCUUUGCCUAGAGCUAAAUAACAUUUCAUACUCAACAGGUACUCAACAGGUACAUAGUUUACUGGUGACUCAACAACUGAAACCCUUUUUCUUUCUCAACAAAAUGUUUCAUAA